Long non-coding RNA from Zophobas morio, 278 nucleotides. RefSeq lists it as uncharacterized. Lineage: Eukaryota; Metazoa; Arthropoda; Insecta; Coleoptera; Tenebrionidae. The record is from RefSeq and is a predicted model, not a curated record. The transcript has 3 exons.
UAUUUAAAACGGAGCUUUGUCAAGAAAAACAAAGUAUACAGAAAUGGUUAAGAGAAAUAAAUUGUCUAUGUUGAAACCUUUUAAUGAGGCCAGAGAGCUCUAUGGAAGAAAAUCAUUGUCCGACCCCUUUUUGGGUAAAAAAAGCUACUCAUAGCCCCUACCAAGAAUUUUUUACUGCCUCAGCCAGCACCUCCGCCUUACAAAAGUAAAAAUAAGAUUCCGGUAUUCUUUUUAUUAAGUAAUGAAAACAGUCUAGGGCUUGCCAGGUCUAAAUUCCG